Molecule: ribosomal RNA, 244 nt
Filed under: uncultured bacterium
Lineage: Bacteria
Description: partial 16S ribosomal RNA
Rfam family: Bacterial small subunit ribosomal RNA
Source: RNAcentral
UACGAAGGGGCUAGCGUUGCUCGGAAUCACUGGGCGUAAAGGGUGCGUAGGCGGGUCUUUAAGUCAGGGGUGAAAUCCUGGAGCUCAACUCCAGAACUGCCUUUGAUACUGAGGAUCUUGAGUUCGGGAGAGGUGAGUGGAACUGCGAGUGUAGAGGUGAAAAUUCGUAGAUAUUCGCAAGAACACCAGUGGCGAAGGCGCUCACUGGCCCGAUACUGACGCUGAGGCACGAAAGCGUGGGGAG